AUACCUUUCUCGGCCUUUUGGCUAAAGAUCAAGUGUAGUAUCUGUUCUUAUAAUAAGUUAGCUUGCUAACUGGGUUUUGUUGCACUGCAACAUAGGCGUGGCUCAACCCAU
Molecule: small nuclear RNA, 111 nt
Filed under: Brassica oleracea var. oleracea
Lineage: Eukaryota; Viridiplantae; Streptophyta; Magnoliopsida; Brassicales; Brassicaceae
Description: snRNA U2
Rfam family: U2 spliceosomal RNA
About the family: U2 is a small nuclear RNA (snRNA) component of the spliceosome (involved in pre-mRNA splicing). Complementary binding between U2 snRNA (in an area lying towards the 5' end but 3' to hairpin I) and the branchpoint sequence (BPS) of the intron results the bulging out of an unpaired adenosine, on the BPS, which initiates a nucleophilic attack at the intronic 5' splice site, thus starting the first of two transesterification reactions that mediate splicing.
Source: RNAcentral